RNAcentral lists this ribosomal RNA (477 nucleotides) under Pseudomonas aeruginosa. Its description in RNAcentral is "bacterial SSU rRNA". It matches the Rfam family "Bacterial small subunit ribosomal RNA", at positions 30 to 499 of the family's 1533-position model. The record is from RNAcentral. Lineage: Bacteria; Pseudomonadati; Pseudomonadota; Gammaproteobacteria; Pseudomonadales; Pseudomonadaceae.
AUUGAACGCUGGCGGCAGGCCUAACACAUGCAAGUCGAGCGGAUGAAGGGAGCUUGCUCCUGGAUUCAGCGGCGGACGGGUGAGUAAUGCUUAGGAAUCUUGCCUGGUAGUGGGGGAUAACGUCCGGAAACGGGCGCUAAUACCGCAUACGUCCUGAGGGAGAAAGUGGGGGAUCUUCGGACCUCACGCUAUCAGAUGAGCCUAGGUCGGAUUAGCUAGUUGGUGGGGUAAAGGCCUACCAAGGCGACGAUCCGUAACUGGUCUGAGAGGAUGAUCAGUCACACUGGAACUGAGACACGGUCCAGACUCCUACGGGAGGCAGCAGUGGGGAAUAUUGGACAAUGGGCGAAAGCCUGAUCCAGCCAUGCCGCGUGUGUGAAGAAGGUCUUCGGAUUGUAAAGCACUUUAAGUUGGGAGGAAGGGCAGUAAGUUAAUACCUUGCUGUUUUGACGUUACCAACAGAAUAAGCACCGGUAA